AUGACAAGCACUUUGAAAAGAGGGUGAAAAGAGCCUGAAACCGUUACGGGGGAAGCGGAUUGCGUUGGAUUGGUGGCUGUCUGCAUGUUCAGCCUUUUUUUGGUGUACUCAUGUAUGCAGUUAUCCGUCGUGGCUUUCUUGGAGCUGAUUUUGAGCUUCAGGAGGGUGAGGGAUCCCCUUUAUGGGUUGAGGACGACGGAGUGACGACGCGAUACGACCCGUCUUGAAACACGGACCAAGGAGUCUAGCACUAUUGCGAGUCGAAGGGUUUUUAAACCUGUGGGCGCAGUGAAAGCAAACUCUAAAACGAGCAGUUUGAGGCGGCAUAAAAUCGUUGAUUUUAGGUCUGACCUAGAGCAGUUGUGCUGGGACCCGAAAGAUGGUGAACUAUGCCUGAGUAGGGUAAAGCCAGAAGAAAUUCUGGUGGAGGCUCGUAGCGGUGCUGACGUGCAAAUCGCUCGUCGAACUUGGGUAUAGGGGCGAAAGACUCAUCGAACCAUCUAGUAGCUGGUUCCCUCCGAAGUUUCUCUCAGGAUAGCAGGUCGACAGACGUUGUUUUGUGC
RNAcentral lists this ribosomal RNA (563 nucleotides) under Rhodymenia novahollandica. Its description in RNAcentral is "eukaryotic LSU rRNA". It matches the Rfam family "Eukaryotic large subunit ribosomal RNA", at positions 364 to 1006 of the family's 3401-position model. Lineage: Eukaryota; Rhodophyta; Florideophyceae; Rhodymeniales; Rhodymeniaceae. The record is from RNAcentral.